CCUACGGGAGGCAGCAGUGGGGAAUUUUGGACAAUGGGCGCAAGCCUGAUCCAGCAAUGCCGCGUGAGUGAAGAAGGCCUUCGGGUUGUAAAGCUCUUUUGUCAGGGAAGAAACGGUAGGGGCUAAUAUCCUUUACUAAUGACGGUACCUGAAGAAUAAGCACCGGCUAACUACGUGCCAGCAGCCGCGGUAAUACGUAGGGUGCAAGCGUUAAUCGGAAUUACUGGGCGUAAAGCGUGCGCAGGCGGUUUUGUAAGUCUGUCGUGAAAGCCCCGGGCUCAACCUGGGAAUUGCGAUGGAGACUGCAAGGCUUGAAUCUGGCAGAGGGGGGUAGAAUUCCACGUGUAGCAGUGAAAUGCGUAGAGAUGUGGAGGAACACCGAUGGCGAAGGCAGCCCCCUGGGUCAAGAUUGACGCUCAUGCACGAAAGCGUGGGGAGCAAACAGGAUUAGAUACCCUGGUAGUCCACGCCCUAAACGAUGUCUACUAGUUGUCGGGUUUUAAUUAACUUGGUAACGCAGCUAACGCGUGAAGUAGACCGCCUGGGGAGUACGGUCGCAAGAUUAAAACUAGAAGUAGUGGACGUGUAGAGCGUCGACGACGACACCGAGGGAGGUUAGAGG
RNAcentral lists this ribosomal RNA (622 nucleotides) under uncultured bacterium. RNAcentral describes it as "bacterial SSU rRNA". It matches the Rfam family "Bacterial small subunit ribosomal RNA", at positions 338 to 951 of the family's 1533-position model. The record is from RNAcentral.